RNAcentral lists this ribosomal RNA (519 nucleotides) under Clostridium perfringens. Its description in RNAcentral is "bacterial SSU rRNA". It matches the Rfam family "Bacterial small subunit ribosomal RNA", at positions 1 to 535 of the family's 1533-position model. The record is from RNAcentral. Lineage: Bacteria; Bacillati; Bacillota; Clostridia; Eubacteriales; Clostridiaceae.
UAAAUUGAGAGUUUGAUCCUGGCUCAGGAUGAACGCUGGCGGCGUGCUUAACACAUGCAAGUCGAGCGAUGAAGUUUCCUUCGGGAAACGGAUUAGCGGCGGACGGGUGAGUAACACGUGGGUAACCUGCCUCAUAGAGUGGAAUAGCCUUCCGAAAGGAAGAUUAAUACCGCAUAACGUUGAAAGAUGGCAUCAUCAUUCAACCAAAGGAGUAAUCCGCUAUGAGAUGGACCCGCGGCGCAUUAGCUAGUUGGUGGGGUAAUGGCCUACCAAGGCGACGAUGCGUAGCCGACCUGAGAGGGUGAUCGGCCACAUUGGGACUGAGACACGGCCCAGACUCCUACGGGAGGCAGCAGUGGGGAAUAUUGCACAAUGGGGGAAACCCUGAUGCAGCAACGCCGCGUGAGUGAUGAAGGUUUUCGGAUCGUAAAGCUCUGUCUUUGGGGAAGAUAAUGACGGUACCCAAGGAGGAAGCCACGGCUAACUACGUGCCAGCAGCCGCGGUAAUACGUAGGUGGC